ACUCCCCAACUAUUUAUCCGACCCCCUUUCUUUAGCGGUUCCAAACUCCU
This 50-nucleotide transfer RNA is filed under the name Mandragora officinarum (mandrake). RNAcentral's name for it is "tRNA-Leu(UAA)". Lineage: Eukaryota; Viridiplantae; Streptophyta; Magnoliopsida; Solanales; Solanaceae. The record is from RNAcentral.